GGACUGUGGCUCAGUGGCAGAGCGCUUGCCUAGCAUGUGUGAGGCACUGGGUUUGAUUCUCAGCACCG
This 68-nucleotide transfer RNA is filed under the name Marmota monax (woodchuck). RNAcentral's name for it is "tRNA.Ala". Lineage: Eukaryota; Metazoa; Chordata; Mammalia; Rodentia; Sciuridae. The record is from RNAcentral.